AUUGAACGCUGGCGGCAGGCUUAACACAUGCAAGUCGAGCGGGGGAAGGUAGCUUGCUACUGGACCUAGCGGCGGACGGGUGAGUAAUGCUUAGGAAUCUGCCUAGUAGUGGGGGACAACAUCUCGAAAGGGAUGCUAAUACCGCAUACGUCCUACGGGAGAAAGCAGGGGAUCUUCGGACCUUGCGCUCAUAGAUGAGCCUAAGUCGGAUUGGCUAGUUGGUGGGGUAAAGGCCUACCAAGGCGACGAUCUGUAGCGGGUCUGAGAGGAUGAUCCGCCACCCUGGGACUGAGACACGGCCCAGACUCCUACGGGAGGCAGCAGUGGGGAAUAUUGGACAAUGGGGGGAACCCUGAUCCAGCCAUGCCGCGUGUGUGAAGAAGGCCUUAUGGUUGUAAAGCACUUUAAGCGAGGAGGAGGCUACUUUAGUUAAUACCUAGAGAUAGUGGACGUUACUCGCAGAAUAAGCACCGGCUAACUCUGUGCCAGCAGCCGCAGUAA
Molecule: ribosomal RNA, 501 nt
Filed under: uncultured bacterium
Lineage: Bacteria
Description: partial 16S ribosomal RNA
Rfam family: Bacterial small subunit ribosomal RNA
Source: RNAcentral